RNAcentral lists this transfer RNA (75 nucleotides) under Bacillota bacterium. RNAcentral describes it as "tRNA-Thr". It matches the Rfam family "tRNA". Rfam says of the family: Transfer RNA (tRNA) molecules are approximately 80 nucleotides in length. The record is from RNAcentral. RNAcentral also lists the same sequence under 2 other names. Lineage: Bacteria; Bacillati; Bacillota.
GCCGAUGUGGCUCAGUGGUAGAGCAGCUGAUUCGUAAUCAGCAGGUCGCCGGUUCGAAUCCGGCCAUCGGCUCCA